This 528-nucleotide ribosomal RNA is filed under the name Triticum aestivum (bread wheat). RNAcentral describes it as "partial small subunit ribosomal RNA". Lineage: Eukaryota; Viridiplantae; Streptophyta; Magnoliopsida; Poales; Poaceae. The record is from RNAcentral.
AUGAUCGAAGCUCUCAAUGAUAAGUAUCUUGGCCUGCCUGCGCAUGUGGGGUUAGAUAAAACUGAUUGUUUCCAAUAUCUGAUUGAUCGCAUUAUUAUUAGCAGAUGGAAAGAAAAACUCUUAUCCACUGGAGGCAAGGAAGUUCUUCUCAAGUCUGUUGUUCAAGCUAUCCCAACUUAUGCUACAUCGGUCUUUAAAAUUCCUAUAAAAAUUAAAGGAAUAACUGACGAGAUGUCGCAUUUUUGGUGGGGUGAUGACGACAACCAGAGAAGGAUGCAUUGGAUGGUGUGGUGGAAAAUGUGUGUCCCGAAAAGCCAAGGCGGAAUGAGCUUUGACAUUCAUUGUUUUAAUUUGGCUAUGCUCGCUAAACAAGCUCGGCGUCUCCUUGAGAACCCAGAUUCCUUGAGUGACACCAUUUUGCGAGCUAAGUAUUUCCCUGAUGGAGAUUUAUUAAACGCAAAUUUAAAAAAGGGAUCAUCCUCACUAGUAGAAAAUAGGGCUUUGGUUCGGGCCUGGCCAGCCCAUUAG